ACGUAGGAGGCAAACGUUAUCCGGAUUUACUGGGCGUAAAGCGCGUGUAGGUGGUUCUGUAAGUAGGGCGUGAAAGCUCCCGGCUCAACUGGGAGAGGCCGUUCUAAACUGCAGAACUAGAGGAUGGUAGAGGGAGGUGGAAUUUCAGGUGUAGCGGUGGAAUGCGCAGAUAUCUGAAGGAACACCAGUGGCGAAGGCGGCCUCCUGGACCAUUCCUGACACUCAGACGCGAAAGCUAGGGGAGCAAACGG
This 251-nucleotide ribosomal RNA is filed under the name uncultured prokaryote. RNAcentral describes it as "partial 16S rRNA". It matches the Rfam family "Bacterial small subunit ribosomal RNA", at positions 525 to 775 of the family's 1533-position model. The record is from RNAcentral.